CCACGCCGUAAACGAUGAGUGCUAGGUGUUGGGGGGAACCUCAGUGCCGCAGCAAACGCAAUAAGCACUCCGCCUGGGGAGUACGUGCGCAAGCAUGAAACUCAAAGGAAUUGACGGGGACCCGCACAAGCAGCGGAGCAUGUGGUUUAAUUCGAAGCAACGCGAAGAACCUUACCAGGGCUUGACAUAUAUGGGAAGCCAUUAGAGAUAGUGGCGCUCCUUCGGGAGCCGAUAUACAGGUGGUGCAUGGUUGU
RNAcentral lists this ribosomal RNA (254 nucleotides) under uncultured bacterium. RNAcentral's name for it is "partial 16S ribosomal RNA". It matches the Rfam family "Bacterial small subunit ribosomal RNA", at positions 795 to 1052 of the family's 1533-position model. The record is from RNAcentral.